UAGUGUAUCAGAGGACGUAGCAGAGAAUUAUGAUGAUGUCAUCACUGCUGCUCAGAGCUCAGCUGUUGUAACAGAAGACAUGACAGAUAACUAUGAUGAUGCUGUUACUGCUGGACCAAACUCCAACAUUAUGACAGUGGACACACCAGAGAACUAUAAUGAUGUCAUCACUGCUGGAC
Colossoma macropomum (tambaqui) is the source of this 179-nucleotide long non-coding RNA. RefSeq lists it as uncharacterized. The record is from RefSeq and is a predicted model, not a curated record. Lineage: Eukaryota; Metazoa; Chordata; Actinopteri; Characiformes; Serrasalmidae. The transcript is spliced from 4 exons.